CUACGGGAGGCACCAGUGAGGAAUAUUGCACAAUGGGGGAAACCCUGAUGCAGCAACGCCGCGUGGAGGAUGACGCAUUUCGGUGUGUAAACUCCUUUUAUGAGUCAAGAAAAUGACGGUAGCUCAUGAAUAAGCACCGGCUAACUCCGUGCCAGCAGCCGCGGUAAUACGGAGGGUGCAAGCGUUACUCGGAAUCACUGGGCGUAAAGGACGCGUAGGCGGGAUGUCAAGUCAGGUGUGAAAUCCUAUGGCUCAACCAUAGAACUGCACUUGAAACUGGCAACCUAGAGGAUGGGAGGGGGAGAUGGAAUUAGUGGUGUAGGGGUAAAAUCCGUAGAUAUCACUAGGAAUACCGAAAGCGAAGGCGAUCUCCUGGAACAUUACUGACGCUAAGGCGUGAAAGCGUGGGGAGCAAACAGGAUUAGAUACCCUUGUAGUC
Molecule: ribosomal RNA, 439 nt
Filed under: uncultured bacterium
Lineage: Bacteria
Description: partial 16S ribosomal RNA
Rfam family: Bacterial small subunit ribosomal RNA
Source: RNAcentral